UACAGAGGGGGCAAGCGUUGUUCGGAAUUACUGGGCGUAAAGGGCGCGUAGGCGGCCUUCUAAGUCGAACGUGAAAUCCCCGGGCUCAACCCGGGAACUGCGUCCGAUACUGGAAGGCUUGAAUCCGGGAGAGGGAUGCGGAAUUCCAGGUGUAGCGGUGAAAUGCGUAGAUAUCUGGAGGAACACCAGUUGCGAAGGCGGCUGACUGGACCCAUAUUGACGCUGAGGCUCGAAAGCAUGGGGAGCAAACAGG
This 253-nucleotide ribosomal RNA is filed under the name uncultured bacterium. RNAcentral describes it as "partial 16S ribosomal RNA". It matches the Rfam family "Bacterial small subunit ribosomal RNA", at positions 524 to 776 of the family's 1533-position model. The record is from RNAcentral.